GAGUUUGAUCCUGGCUCAGAUUGAACGCUGGCGGCAUGCCUUACACAUGCAAGUCGAACGGCAGCACGGGAGCUUGCUCCUGGUGGCGAGUGGCGAACGGGUGAGUAAUGCAUCGGAACGUAUCCUGGAGUGGGGGAUAACGUAGCGAAAGUUACGCUAAUACCGCAUAUUCUGUGAGCAGGAAAGCGGGGGACCUUCGGGCCUCGCGCUCUUGGAGCGGCCGAUGUCGGAUUAGCUAGUUGGUGAGGUAAAGGCUCACCAAGGCGACGAUCCGUAGCAGGUCUGAGAGGAUGAUCUGCCACACUGGAACUGAGACACGGUCCAGACUCCUACGGGAGGCAGCAGUGGGAUUUUGGACAAUGGGGGCAACCCUGAUCCAGCCAUGCCGCGUGAGUGAAGAAGGCC
This 405-nucleotide ribosomal RNA is filed under the name bacterium enrichment culture clone ALO1_GLFRUDD03G56VO. RNAcentral's name for it is "bacterial SSU rRNA". It matches the Rfam family "Bacterial small subunit ribosomal RNA", at positions 9 to 416 of the family's 1533-position model. The record is from RNAcentral.